GGGAAGGUGGCUCAGUGGUAGAGUGCUUGCCUUUCAUGUAUGAGGCUCUGGGUUCGAUUCCUCAGCUCCA
This is a non-coding RNA of Dipodomys ordii (Ord's kangaroo rat), 70 nucleotides long. The record is from Rfam. Lineage: Eukaryota; Metazoa; Chordata; Mammalia; Rodentia; Heteromyidae.